UGGGGCGUGGCCAAGUGGUAAGGCAGCGGGUUUUGAUCCCGUUAUUCGGAGGUUCGAAUCCUUCCGUCCCAGCCA
Molecule: transfer RNA, 75 nt
Filed under: Hordeum vulgare
Lineage: Eukaryota; Viridiplantae; Streptophyta; Magnoliopsida; Poales; Poaceae
Description: tdbR00000334
Rfam family: tRNA
About the family: Transfer RNA (tRNA) molecules are approximately 80 nucleotides in length.
Source: RNAcentral